AAAACAACAACAAUGAAAAAGAGACACAUGAACAGAACACUUCUUAGGUGUGUGAGACUAUCAGGCACAACAUUCUCACUCCCUCGCAUAUAAUACCACACCUUUUUCAGCUGUCUCCACAGGAUUUUAGAUGCAUGCAGCUUGGAAUCACAAACAAGAACAGAAAGCAAUAUUUGAGUUAUAAACUGAGUGAUGGCGGAGGCUAUGAUUGAGGUCCUUGUAGAGCAAUUAAUUGAAGCCCUCAAGAAACAUGGUGAAUACAUGCUUGAAUUUCGAAGCCAGUUCAGUGAUAUGAAGGCACACCUUGACCUCAUGAAAUCCUUUCUCGUUGAUGCUUACAAGCUCAAAAGAAAGGAGGAAACAGUGAAGACAACCUUAAGUAUGCUCAGAGAACUGGUUUAUGAUGCAGAGGACAUAUUGACUGACUGCCUACUCAGAGCAGAAUAUCGGAAAGAAGGGUUUCACUUAAACAACUUCUCCCCACGUGAAUUGAUCUUCCAGUAUCGAACAGGGAAAAAGUUGAAAAACAUCAAUGAAAGAAUUGAAAAGAUGCAGAAGAUCUUGAAAUCCUACUUCAAGACAAUUGGACAACAGAGUGUCCAUGAUGACUGUGGUAGCAUAGGGAAGAGGUGGACUUCACCAGUUUAUGAUGAAUCUACAAUAGUUGGUUUAACAGAAGAUACAAAAAAGAUAAUUGGCUGGAUUCUUCCUGAAAACCGGAUAUUGCACCGAGUUGGGAUUGUGGGGAUGGGUGGUUUGGGCAAAACCACCAUAACUCAGAAGAUUUUUAACAACAGACAAGUUGUUGAUCGCUUUGAUAAGAGAAUUUGGGUCUCACUAUCUCAAAAUUUCAAUGAGGAAGAGAUCAUGAGGACCAUGUUAAAACAAUUGGGAGAAGAUGUAAAUGGACUGGAUAUGGCUCAAAUGCUGCCAAAGAUUAAGCAAGCACUUGAAAAUAGGAAUUAUCUGAUUGUAUUCGAUGAUGUUUGGAGCGCUGAAGGUUGGUGGGACAGAAUACGUGCUGGGCUGCCAAAGAGGGAGGGGAAAAGUAGUGGCAUAAUAAUCACAACAAGAAUAGAAAAUGUUGCAACUGAAAUAGGGGUUGAGAAAGCACGAAUUCAUCAGCCCAGAAUUCUGAAUGAAGAAGAAAGUUGGGCUCUAUUCUGCAAAAUUGCAUUUGCAUCAGAUGAGGAAGCACAACAGCAUUCCGAGUUGGAGGAAGUGGGGAAAGAUAUAGUUAAAAAAUGUGGAGGACUUCCACUAGCUAUAAAGACCAUAGGAGGCUUACUGAAAUCAAAAACUCAAUCUACAGAAGUUUGGAGAAGGAUUUGUACCAAUUUCCAUGAUGCAGUGGCCACAAGAGAAAGCGGAAGCUCAGUCAUGGCUUCUUUACAACUUAGUUAUGAUGAGCUUCCUAUUCGCCUGAAGCAAUGUCUACUGUGCUUUUCCAUGUAUCCAGAGGACUCAGAGAUAUGGGCUGAGCAGUUAGCUCGUUGGUGGGUUGGAGAGGGUUUCGUUGAGGGAAAAGGCUCAAGAACUGCAAUGGAAUUGGCCUUCGACUAUCUAUCAGAGCUCAUCAGCAGAUGCCUAGUUGAAGUUGUGCAGCAAAGAGGUUAUGAUGGAAGAGUUUACAGUUGCAAGAUGCAUGAUCUGGUGAGGGAUUUGACCAUAAAAAUUGCCAGAGAGGAGGCAUUUUGCAACUUUGAUGAACAAGGCAGGCAAGGACUCUCAGCGCAAUCCCGGCGUUUGAGCUUUACGUGUGAAAUUGAUGUGAAGGCACUGAACAGAAAAUCAAAGCUCCGGACAUUGCUGAUAAUGACAAGCUCCCCAAUUCAACUCAACAGGAAUACUGGAUUGUUUACAAUUAAGUCCCUCAGGGUGUUGGAUUUCUCA
RNAcentral lists this unclassified non-coding RNA (1893 nucleotides) under Hevea brasiliensis (rubber tree). Lineage: Eukaryota; Viridiplantae; Streptophyta; Magnoliopsida; Malpighiales; Euphorbiaceae. The record is from RNAcentral.